RNAcentral lists this transfer RNA (72 nucleotides) under Pangasianodon hypophthalmus (striped catfish). Its description in RNAcentral is "tRNA-Glu". Lineage: Eukaryota; Metazoa; Chordata; Actinopteri; Siluriformes; Pangasiidae. The record is from RNAcentral.
UCCCUGGAGGACUAGUGGUUAGGUCACAGCGCGCUCACUGCUGCAGCCCGGGUUCAAUUCCUGGCCAUGGGA